GCAAGUUGAACGAGAAAAGUUUACUUUUCUAGUAGCGAACGGGUGAGUAACACGUAUCUAAUCUACCUUGAAGUUGGGGAUAACUAGUGGAAACACUAGCUAAUACCGAAUAACACAUUUCAUCGCCUGAUGAUUUGUUGAAAGGGGCCUUUAAAGCCUCGCUUCUAGAUGAAGGUGCGGCUUAUUAGCUAGUUGGAGGUGUAAAAGACCAACAAGGCAACGAUGAGUAGCUAGUCUGAGAGGACGAAU
Molecule: ribosomal RNA, 249 nt
Filed under: uncultured bacterium
Lineage: Bacteria
Description: partial 16S ribosomal RNA
Rfam family: Bacterial small subunit ribosomal RNA
Source: RNAcentral